Long non-coding RNA from Aedes albopictus (Asian tiger mosquito), 992 nucleotides. RefSeq lists it as uncharacterized. Lineage: Eukaryota; Metazoa; Arthropoda; Insecta; Diptera; Culicidae. The record is from RefSeq and is a predicted model, not a curated record. The transcript is spliced from 2 exons.
AUAAGGGCGAAAGUAACAUGAGAGAGUUCUCUUCAUCGACUCUCUCUUCUUCAAAUUAAAGUGACAAGAUGCAAGUAUGAUUGCACUUUAUGGUCAUAAAUCGCUAGGUUGCGAUGCAAUCUAGCGUCUAAGUGUAAAAAAGUUCGAUUGAAUUUGCAUCUUGUCACUUUAAUUUGCAGAAGAGAGAGUCGAUGAAGAGAACUCUCUCAUGUUACUUUCGCCCUUAUUUAAACUCAAUCUAGACAUAUGCUACUGAAAACAGUCUAAAAUUACAACUAUAUUACUUUCAGUAUAUUCAUAAGAUAUCACUCAGCUGAGCACUUCAAUCUAUGGUCUAUGAGGACUUUCACAGUUAUUAACUGAGAACUUAGGUCAGACUGUAUCACUGUAUCUCGUUUUACGCUAAUCUACACUCUGAAAAAUCCACAUGUCAAGGCUACGUGGAAAAUCACGUAGCGUCUGAAAAGUGUUCAUUUGCCUGAAUUUAUCUGAUGAAGGUGACUAUUAUCUAGCCAGAGAUAAAUAUGAUAUGAUGUUCCAGUUGCCUUUAUGCAGCUUCUCAGUAUCUCUCACUUGGAAAUUACGUAGCCACCUGAGUUCAUUGUGACAACUUCAUUCCGUGUUCAUUGUUGUGAUGCCGCUAUCAUUUUGUGUGCAUGUCAUCGCCAAGAUGGCGUAAUUUGAAAACAAACCUCGACUCCUGAUUUUUUUUUUCGAUAUCACCCGACAUUUUUGUCAAAGGAAUUGUUAUUGUUUAGGCACCGCUGAACGGGUGCCGUCGAUGAAAACUGCAAGCUGCUAACAGAAAUGAUCCGAAGAAGAAUAGCAGCAUUCUGUUUCGGCAGCACACUACAUGCACCAACAUCGCCAAAUAAGGCAUACGCAGCAGUAGCAAUUAUUUUCAAAGUGCGAACUGUUAAAUACUUGCGACGACCAUAAUGUGCCAAGACUUAGUGCCAGAUUUAGUGUAAAUAAACAGAAAUUUGACCGAA